Molecule: ribosomal RNA, 253 nt
Filed under: uncultured bacterium
Lineage: Bacteria
Description: partial 16S ribosomal RNA
Rfam family: Bacterial small subunit ribosomal RNA
Source: RNAcentral
UACGUAGGGUCCGAGCGUUGUCCGGAGUUACUGGGCGUAAAGCGCGCGCAGGCGGCGGUGCUGGCCCGGCGUGAAAGCCCCCGGCUCAACCGGGGAGAGACGUCGGGGACCGCACCGCUUGAGGGCGGUAGGGGCUGGUGGAAUGCCUGGUGUAGUGGUGAAAUGCGUAGAGAUCAGGCAGAACACCUGGGGCGAAGGCGGCCAGCUGGGCCGUCCCUGACGCUGAGGCGCGAAGGCGUGGGGAGCAAACGGG